RNAcentral lists this transfer RNA (68 nucleotides) under Cellana radiata. RNAcentral describes it as "tRNA-His". Lineage: Eukaryota; Metazoa; Mollusca; Gastropoda; Nacellidae. The record is from RNAcentral.
AUCAGGUUAGUUUAACUAAAACAUUAGGAUGUGGGCCUAAAAAAAAUGUAACAACCCAUUACUUGAUA